GAUGAACGCUAGAUACAGGCUUAACACAUGCAAGUCGUGGGGCAUCAUGAUGUAGUAAUACAUUGAUGGCGACCGGCGCACGGGUGAGUAACGCGUAUCCAACCUACCCUCCACUCAAGUAUAGGCUUCCGAAAGGGAGAUUAAUCCUUGAUAUGUCAUUCUCUCUCCUGUUAGAAUGAUAAAAGGACUUUAGUUCGGUAGAGGAUGGGGAUGCGUUCCAUUAGGUAGUAGGUGGUUUAACAGGCCACCUAGCCGAUGAUGGAUAGGGGUUCUGAGAGGAAUAUCCCCCACACUGGUACUGAGAUACGGACCAGACUCCUACGGGAGGCAGCAGUGAGGAAUAUUGGUCAAUGGGCGCAAGCCUGAACCAGCCAUGUAGCGUGAAGGAUGACGGUUUUUUUGAUUGUAAACUUCUUUUCUGUGCGAUUAAAGUGU
RNAcentral lists this ribosomal RNA (435 nucleotides) under Bacteroidetes bacterium oral taxon 272. RNAcentral describes it as "bacterial SSU rRNA". It matches the Rfam family "Bacterial small subunit ribosomal RNA", at positions 28 to 454 of the family's 1533-position model. Lineage: Bacteria; Pseudomonadati; Bacteroidota. The record is from RNAcentral.